Molecule: long non-coding RNA, 731 nt
Filed under: Zonotrichia albicollis (white-throated sparrow)
Lineage: Eukaryota; Metazoa; Chordata; Aves; Passeriformes; Passerellidae
Description: lncRNA (ENSZALG00000005944.1)
Source: RNAcentral
AUGAAUUCCGAGCUGGGGAGGAGGAGGAUGAUGAUGAUGAUGAUGAUGAUGAUGAUGGGAUGGGGAAGAUUCUCUCCUUUCAUGAAAAGAUCAAAGCCCUUUAAGAAAACAAGGCCACCAACUGCAAAGUGCUCUGAACAUUCAGGGGCUCCCCCUUGGGGUCGGGAAUUCCUUCGGGACAUUCCCUGGGGUGGGACUUGUGCCCUUCCAAGGGAUUUGGAAAAGGAUUUGUGUCCCCUCCAAGGGCAUUGGAAAAGGAUUUGUUCCCGCCCAAGGACCCUGGACAGGGAAUUGUGCCCCUCCAAGGGAUCUGGACAGGGAUUUUUGCCCUCCCAAGGGUGGGAGCAGCGCUGGAUUUCGGAGCCGAGCCCCGAGCCCACCCCUGGGAAGGUUUUGGGGGGCUCAGGGCAGCCCUGGAGACAGGGAAGGGGGAAAAGGGGCCCAGGGAUCCCUCUGGAUCAUCCCUCCCACCCCAGGAUCCCUCUGGAUCAUCCCUCCAACCCCAGGAUCCCUCUGGAUCAUCCCUCCUGCCCCGGGAUCCCUCUGGAUCAUCCCUCCAACCCCAGGAUCCCUCUGGAUCAUCCCUCCUGCCCCGGGAUCCCUCUGGAUCAUCCCUCCCACCCCGGGAUUCCCUUGCCUCGGGCUCAAAUCCCAAAGGGAGCAGGGUUGGGAGCUGCCCACCCCAAUCAUGGAUUGCUUUUCAUUCCACAGGGAAACAAAAACAACAACAA